UGUGGCCCAUUCUACCAUGCUUGGGAGGGAGGCCAGCGUUUUGGCAUGGCAUGGCGGGCAGACUGCUGGGCCUGUCCGGAGGGGAGAGCAGGGCCAAGGCAAGGCAGUAGAAUAUGAGCUCUUUGAUGGUAGGAGCCACUAUGUCUUUGUACUCUCAACCUUAUACAGUUCUUGGAACAUGAUAUCACUGGGAUUGAAUACAUGGAACUGAAUCCAACUGAAUUGAAAGCCCUGGUGCCUAGCACAAUGCCUGGCAUACAAUAGGCACCUGAUAAGUACUUUUAAUAAACGUCCAGAACUAUACUCAAAGCCCUUCUAACUUGGUAGGAUCUGCCAGAAGCUGAGUUCUAAAAGGAUAUCCCAGAGACCCCAGGGUCACCUCUAUGAGAAGAUGCUAUUUGAAGAGUUUACCAAAGGGUAAUGAAAAUAAAAACAUGGAAAAAUAAAG
Molecule: long non-coding RNA, 448 nt
Organism: Monodelphis domestica (gray short-tailed opossum)
Lineage: Eukaryota; Metazoa; Chordata; Mammalia; Didelphimorphia; Didelphidae
Source: RefSeq, a predicted model, not a curated record